Molecule: long non-coding RNA, 395 nt
Filed under: Polistes fuscatus (common paper wasp)
Lineage: Eukaryota; Metazoa; Arthropoda; Insecta; Hymenoptera; Vespidae
Description: uncharacterized LOC122525312
Source: RNAcentral
CAACUAUCCUCCACUCUUCCUCUACCAUCCUACUCCUCUCUCUCUUUCUUCAACCUCUCUACCAUCACGCAGGUGCCGCCCCUGAAAGCUUGCCAAGCCCGCAAAACACCGCCACUGCCGUUGCCGUUGCUGCUGUUGCCGCUGCUGCUGCUGCUGCUGAUGCUGCUGAUGCUGCCAUGUGGCAGCACCAACAGGAACGGGUGGCCGAAGACUCGCGAUCGUCACCGAAUUCCUACGAAGCAAACAACUACGAUGCAAGAGAGACCAUGUGGAAACCUCGAGGCGUCGCCGACGCGCCAUCAGUGCCGUAUCUUUCAUACUACUGAUGGUAGGGGAAUGUCCCUUGGUUAUGAUGGUAUGGUUACCUACACACCUAAAUAAGGAUUACGUCGAGU